Long non-coding RNA from Ipomoea triloba (trilobed morning glory), 1655 nucleotides. RefSeq lists it as uncharacterized. NCBI's taxonomy places the organism in Eukaryota, Viridiplantae, Streptophyta, Magnoliopsida, Solanales, Convolvulaceae. The record is from RefSeq and is a predicted model, not a curated record. The transcript is spliced from 3 exons.
AAAAACUUCCCUCCCAACUCACAAACACUCAGCUGACAAAGUCUCAGCUCACAAAUUCUCGCACUGCUCCCUCGUCUCAAACAAGAAAAGCUCUGCCGUCCCUCGCCAUCUCAGCCCUCCGGUCUCCCUCCGUCGCUCCUCCACCAAUGUCGCCUCUCCCAGCCGCUGCCGCCGUCGAGACCGGGCACCCUCUUCUCGACUCUGCUGCCGUCGAGACUCUUCCCGCCUCUGCUGCCGUUGAGACUCUUCCCGCCUCUGCCGCCAUCGACACUCUCCCCGUCGCCUCGCUAGUCGUUGUCUCUACCACCGUCACAGGUUAGUCCUCAAAUCUAAAACCCUAAUCCCUAAAUUCCUAAUUCCAUUUAUCCCUAUCUCAUAAUUUCAUUAAGCCCUAAAUCGAUAUGUUUUUCUUACUAUGUAAUUUUAUUGGUGAAAGUAAAUGGCUUAGAGCUCUACUUUGGCUUUCCUGUGACACUUUUAGUCUUACCAAUUAAAAAUGGAUAGAUGUGCAGUAUAAAUGCAUCGUAUUACCUGAAGCCGUUCAUGUUUAUUAUCACCUGUUGAGAUUAAUGACUAAUUUAACUAUUUGAUGUUAUUUGGCAAAGGAAAUUUAACAGCUUGCUAUUAGUUCAUAUGAUAUUUCUUCUUUGUUUAUUAAGAUUUUUGGUCUUAUUAUUGUUUUGUAGCUGCAAUCUAUUAUGCACAAGCCUCAUAAGUGAAGAUGUCUUUGUGGUAGAUAUAUUGCUCUCUACUAGCUUUUUUCAGGGUUAUAAAUGUCUGCAAAUGAAGUUUUGAAUUCAGAUACCCCUGAGUAUGAGAGAAUCCAGUGGUCACACUGUUGGUGUUGAUUGUUUGCCUGAGGAGAUGAAUGGCAUGAAAAUCAGGGAUGAUAAGGAUAUGGAAGCAGCAGUUGUUGAUGAUCCAUGAAAUGGCAGUGGUCUCUGCUGUACAAGCUCAGCAGGUUCAUAUCUAACUAUCUAAGCAUCUUAUUAUGCAGUUACUAUGUUUAGACUUUCCACCUUAUUUGUUCUUUCCCCCGUUUUACAGUGUAUCUAUGAAUCUAUUAUACUCUAAAGAUAAAUAACUUGUUAAGUAAUAAUGUAAUUGGAAAUUACAUUAAUCUCUGUAAGAGUUGAUGUAAGAGUUGCUUGAGAAACAAUAAUGUUAUAUAAAUUGUAUGUAUGAUGCAUCAUGCAAAGAUAUAGUACGAGAACUAAGGCUGAAGAAUACCGUGAAUUCGUGAUAGUUUGCUAAUUUUCUGUUUUCAUGUGUUCUCAAGUCAAGUAACUUUAGCUUUGUGUUAUCUGAUUUUGGUGUAGGAGAAACUAUCACUUUUCUGUUUUCAUGUUUAAUCACUUUUCUGUUUUCAUGUUUUCUCAAGUCAAGUAACUUUAGCUUUGUGUUAUCUGAUUUUGGUGUAGGAGAAACUUUAUAACAGCGCACAAAUUCUUGAGAUUAAAUUGGAGCUAACCGGGUGAUUGACUAAAUGAUGAAACACAAGUUGAUGAAGAUCAAGUACUUUAUGUUUUUAUGACUUUUUUUCUUUGUGUGUUUGGCAAUAGUGCAAUGAUUAAAUAUUUAUGGAUUGGACAUGAUACUAUCUUUUUGUUGUAAACAAUUUUGAUAUUUAAAUAUAUUUUCAUUUUGAAUUUAAA